This is an RNA transcript of Musa acuminata AAA Group (dessert banana), 4003 nucleotides long. It is a transcript of the gene named protein OCTOPUS-like, with no coding region annotated. The transcript is spliced from 4 exons. The record is from RefSeq and is a predicted model, not a curated record. Lineage: Eukaryota; Viridiplantae; Streptophyta; Magnoliopsida; Zingiberales; Musaceae.
UGUUUCUUUUCUGUCGGCUUUACUGUCGUCUUUGAACAGUAUCAAAUCCUUCCGCCACUAUUUUCUCUGCUCUCCUUCCCUUACCCAACACCCCCCUCCUCCCCUCUGUCACUCUGUCCCUCACUGUUGUCUCCUACUAUUACGAUCACAACAAGAUUAUAUUAAUUGGUAAGCAGCAGCAGCAUCAGAGGAAGAAGCAAAGCUUUAUAAGAGAGAGAGAGAGAGAGAGAGAGAGAGAGUUGAGUCGUUCGUUGCUGGGGAGGGGAGGGGAGGGGAAGGGAGAGGGGGGCUUCCAUGACGGUCGAGAACGAGAGCCAUCGACACCACCACCAACUCUUGCCGCCUCUGCAACCUCAAAGACGCAUCCCUUCGUCCACGUGCGACCUGCACCCGGGCGAGACGGUCACCGGCUUCUGCGCCUCCUGCCUCCGCGAGCGCCUCGCGGGGCUCGAGGCACCUGCCGCAGCCUCCGGCCGUAGGUCCACCUCUGCCCUUCGAUCCGUCUUCUCCAUGGUCACCGUCGGCGCGGGCCCUGCCGCCGGGCCGUCCUCCCUCCGCCGCUCCAAGUCCUUCUCGUUCAGCCGUGGCGGCGACGUCUUCUCGGCGCAGCGGCCCCGCGCAUCCGCCUUGGAACCCCAGCGCAGGUCCUGCGACGUCCGCGGCCGCAGCACCCUUUGGUCCCUCUUCCAUCAGGACGACCGGGACAGGGUGGGUCAGAACCCUUCCAUCCCACCCUUCUCCUCCUCCUCCUCUUCCUCCACCUCAACCUCCUCCGCGGCGGCGGCGGCGACGGCGCCGUCCACGAGCGGAGCGAUCGAGGUGGACUGCCGGAACCAAGGGCUUCCGGGCCCCUCCCUCGCUCCUCCAGUGUCCGGAACAUGCGAAGAGUAUGAGAUCGGCCAUGAGAUCAGGCCCAUUGGAACCUCGGGGGAGAUAAAUGAGGAAGGAAAGGGAGCAGCGGAGGAGGAAAUGGAGCUGAAGCCGAUGAAGGACCACAUAAAUCUCGACUCCGAGCAGCAGCAGCAGCAUCAGGCGAAGAAGCCACCGCAAAAGGACUUCAAGGAGAUCGCCAGCAGCGUCUGGCUCGCCGCCUCCGUCUUCAGCAAAAAGCUCCAGAAAUGGCGGAGAAGACAGAAGCCAAAGAACCAAGGUGGCGAAGCGACAAUGCCGGCGGAGGAACCCCCUAAAACGUCGCGGCGGUUCCACGACACGCAGUCGGAAGUCGCCAUGGACUGCUCCGGCCGAAGAUCCUGCGACACCGACCCCCGCUUCUCUCUGGACGCCGCCCGGAUGUCCAUCGACGACCCCAGGUUCUCCUGGGACGAGCCGAGGGCCUCAUGGGACGGCUACCUGAUCGGAGGCCGAUCAGUGUUCCCUCGUCUCCCUCCCAUUCUCUCCGUCGUCGAGGACGCCCCUGCCCCGGCAGUCCAGCGGUCGGACUACCUUAUCCCCGUCGAGGCAGAUGCCGCCAUCCCAGGCGGGUCGGCACAGACCCGGGACUACUACUUGGAUUCAUCCAGCCAGCGCCGGCGAAGCCUUGACCGAUCGAGCUCCAUCAGGGAGCAGCCUGUCGAGAUCAGUGAGCCAAAGCCGGUCUCCAACAGCAGAGUAUCCCCUGCAGGCGGCAUGGACUUCUUCCCCUUCCACCAUGGUGCCUCACUUGAGCGGGAGGUAAAAGAUUGGAGCUCAAAUUCCCUGAGAGAUGAUUACUCCGGCAGUUUUGAGUCAGCUUUUAGGGACCUUAACAAAGGUGCUUCCCCGAAGAAGUCAAGUAGGUGGAGCAAAGCAUGGAACAUUUGGGGGCUUCUUCAGCGAAGAAAUAGUAGCAGAGGAGAAGCCAAUAUGGUUGACAGAUCCUUGUCAGAGUCAUGGCCGGAGCUGCGGUGCAAGAGCACCAAUGGCAGGAUUCUAAGGAGUAACAGCAGUGUAAGCUCGAGGGUCUCUUCUCAUGCCAAUGCUGGGUAUGGGGUGAUGCGGACGAGCAGCAUGAGGUCCAGUGGGAAUGAUAAGAAGAAGAGUAGAGAUGAACCCGUUCUGGAGAGGAAUAGAAGUGCUAGAUAUUCUCCAAACCAUAUUGAGAACGGUAUGCUGCGGUUUUACUUGACACCAAAGCGAAAUGCACGGAGGAAUGGAGUUUCAGCUAGCCGAAGGCAGAUGAUGCCUUCGCCUUACCUUGCAAGAAGCAUGCUAGGACUGUAUUGAUCUGACUGUUGAACUCUAUCAGCUGGAAAGGAGCCAAUUUGAAGAUUGAAGACUGCAGCACACUUCAGAAGGUCGAACCUACUAAAAGGGAUCGAAGUAUGUGAUUGUUAGGUUGCCUGUGAUGCUAAUCUUGCCCGAGAUUUUCUACUAUCUACUGAGUUCACAGUCGGGCUUCGUUUGUUACUAUAUACAUACGGAUAGAAAGCUUCAUAUCCACAUGUAUCUAUUUACUGGUGAGAGAUCACACAUUGGAAUUAGCUGCAGAUGCCUAACUCUUCAUUUUUCUGCUUCCAAUUAUUGGUUUUGCAGGUGGGAUGAUAUCUAAGAAGAUAGGAUUCAUCAGCUGGGAUUGUACUCUUGCCUUGUUUGUUCAUGAACCUCCACUGCCAAGUUAUUAGAUUUUGUUUGGGACAAAUUUGAAGUCAGCUUGAUGGUGAACACUAGUAACAUAUGCAUGACUAGGGAUUGGGAGGGUCAAGAGCUGAAGCUGGUUUGUGAAAAGUGUCAAAUGAUGCUGUGCACUCUACUAGGAGACCACUAUGGGGAGUUCAUCAAUUGAUUGUUCGGAUAAGAGGUUUUAGAGUGACAGCAUUCCUUGUAGUCAGUAGAUGAGUGUCAAGGUUUUUUAGUUUCUAGUGGAAUUUUUUAAAGUUCUACGAAGUACAAUUUAGCAAUCAGAUUUGAAGUAAAAUAAACAGUACAUGACAUGCACAACUAUCCGUGCAUGGAGGCAUGUGUUAACUAAAUAUGAACGUUAAUAAAAAAAUUAUACAGAAAGAAUAGAAUAAAAUUUUGACUAUAAGAGCAAAUAAUUUAAUUAAAAUGACAUGUAUUUUAAUUUUCGUAGAUUUUAUCAGUAACAAAUAAUUUAAUGUAGAGUGUUUUUGUUAAAGUAGGAUUUUUGAGGGUCAAAAUGUGUUAUUAUUAUUAUUUUCAAGAAUGUUUUGAAAAAAAAAAUCAGGAAAGAACCAAUUAAUUCUAUAUGAAAAUUUUCACAUAUAUGCUGGUGUAAAAUAAAUUUUUUAAUUAAAAUAUGUGGGAGGGAACUAAGCAUCUCUCUGUCUCUCUCUCUCUCAGCAACCUCGACCGGCCCAAGUCCCAGUGUGAAGCCCAAAUAGAGCCUUAAUGGGCCGACCCAAUUGAGAAGAGAACCACACGGAUCGAUUAUAAAUAGUGAUCCUAACACGGCCGGUUCCACAUGGUCUGUUGCUGCCUCCCCGGUCUCAUCUCCAUCUCAACCUCGAACGCGUCGAGUUUUCCGGCCUCCUUGCGUCCGAUCUCGCUUCAGAGAGGAGUUGGAGGAGGAGGAAUGGCUCACUGGGUGGAUCACGAAUGUGACUACCUGUUCAAGAUCGUGCUGAUCGGCGAUUCGGGGAAGGGGAAAUCGAACAUCCUCGACAGUUCACGCGGAAUGAGUUCUGCUUGGAUGGAAUCUAAGUCCACCAUCGGCGCCGAAUUCGCCACUAGGACCCUCCAGAAGUUGGCGCUGAGUCCAGAUUGAUUCGACUUCUUGUUGCCAGGAAUGCUGCUUGGACCAAUCGACGCUCCAUUUCGAUCCGGACAACUUGAGCAAAAGAGUACGAGAUAUAUCUGCGUCUUUUAGCUCGGAUUAAAUGAUCGAGUCAUUGGUUUUGAUCUAGGGUUUCAACUGAAAUGGCUGACCGUCCAUGAAAUGAUUGGAAGAUGUUUGUUCUCGAUGGAACUGGGAUAUUUGUUUGGACAACGAAGUAUCAAGAAGCCUUGGGGGAUAAAAGUAAUGGUUCGAAGAAUCUUACAAUAAAUGCAGCUUUAUUGCGAUUCA